Molecule: ribosomal RNA, 503 nt
Filed under: uncultured Lactococcus sp.
Lineage: Bacteria; Bacillati; Bacillota; Bacilli; Lactobacillales; Streptococcaceae
Description: partial 16S ribosomal RNA
Source: RNAcentral
CACGUAGUUAGCCGUCCCUUUCUGGUUAGAUACCGUCACUUGCAUAACUUUCCACUCUAUGCAACGUUCUUCUCUAACAACAGAGUUUUACGAUCCGAAAACCUUCUUCACUCACGCGGCGUUGCUCGGUCAGACUUUCGUCCAUUGCCGAAGAUUCCCUACUGCUGCCUCCCGUAGGAGUUUGGGCCGUGUCUCAGUCCCAAUGUGGCCGAUCACCCUCUCAGGUCGGCUAUGUAUCAUCGCCUUGGUAGUCCAUUACACUACCAACUAGCUAAUACAACGCGGGUCCAUCUCUCAGUGUACCAAUUGGUACUUUCAAAUUAAGAUUAUGCAAUCUCAAUUGUUAUGCGGUAUUAGCUAUCGUUUCCAAUUAGUUAUCCCCCGCUGAUAGGUAGGUUACCCAGCGUUACUCACCCGUUCGCUACUCUUGAUUUUCGGUGAAGCAAGCUUCGGUGAAAAUCAAGCGUUCAACUUGCAUGUAUUAGGCACGCCGCCAGCGUUCG